RNAcentral lists this transfer RNA (71 nucleotides) under Euryarchaeota archaeon RBG_16_68_12. RNAcentral's name for it is "tRNA-Gly". It matches the Rfam family "tRNA". From Rfam's summary of the family: Transfer RNA (tRNA) molecules are approximately 80 nucleotides in length. Their secondary structure includes four short double-helical elements and three loops (D, anti-codon, and T loops). RNAcentral also lists the same sequence under 1 other name. The record is from RNAcentral. Lineage: Archaea; Methanobacteriati; Methanobacteriota.
GCGGCUGUAGUCUAACGGUAGGACAGAAGCUUCCCAAGCUUCUAACGCGGGUCCGACUCCCGCCAGCCGCA